AGAGUUUGAUCCUGGCUCAGGAUGAACGCUGGCGGCGUGCUUAACACAUGCAAGUCGAACGAUCCUUCGGGAUAGUGGCGGACGGGUGAGUAACGCGUGGGAAUCUGCCCUCAGGAGGGGGAUAACGGCUGGAAACGGCCGCUAAUACCCCAUAUGCCGAGAGGUGAAAUGAAUUUCGCCUGAGGAUGAGCCCGCGUCUGAUUAGCUAGUUGGUGGGGUAAAGGCCUACCAAGGCAACGAUCAGUAGCUGGUCUGAGAGGAUGAUCAGCCACACUGGGACUGAGACACGGCCCAGACUCCUACGGGAGGCAGCAGUGGGGUAUCUUCCGCAAUGGGCGAAAGCCUGACGGAGCAACGCCGCGUGAGGGAUGAAGGCCUCUGGGCUGUAAACCUCUUUUCUCAAGGAAGAAGACCUGACGGUACUUGAGGAAUAAGCCACGGCUAAUUCCGUGCCAGCAGCCGCGGUAAUACGGGAGUGGCAAGCGUUAUCCGGAAUUAUUGGGCGUAAAGCGUCCGCAGGCGGCCUUGUAAGUCUGUUGUUAAAGCGUGGAGCUCAACUCCAUUUAAGCAAUGGAAACUACAAGGCUGGAGUGUGGUAGGGGCAGAGGGAAUUCCCGGUGUAGCGGUGAAAUGCGUAGAUAUCGGGAAGAACACCAAUGGCGAAGGCGCUCUGCUGGGCCAUAACUGACGCUCAUGGACGAAAGCCAGGGGAGCGAAAGGGAUUAGAUACCCCUGUAGUCCUGGCCGUAAACGAUGAACACUUGGUGUCGGGGGAAUCGACCCCCUCGGUGUCGUAGCCAACGCGUUAAGUGUUCCGCCUGGGGAGUACGCACGCAAGUGUGAAACUCAAAGGAAUUGACGGGGGCCCGCACAAGCGGUGGAGUAUGUGGUUUAAUUCGAUGCAACGCGAAGAACCUUACCAGGGUUUGACAUCCUGCGAACCCCUGAGAAAUCGGGGGGUGCCUUCGGGAGCGCAGAGACAGGUGGUGCAUGGCUGUCGUCAGCUCGUGUCGUGAGAUGUUGGGUUAAGUCCCGCAACGAGCGCAACCCACGUCUUUAGUUGCCAGCAUUCAGUUGGGCACUCUAGAGAGACCGCCGGUGAUAAACCGGAGGAAGGUGUGGAUGACGUCAAGUCAUCAUGCCCCUUACAUCCUGGGCUACACACGUACUACAAUGCUACGGACAAAGGGCAGCAAGCUCGCGAGAGUUAGCAAAUCCCAUAAACCGUGGCUCAGUUCAGAUCGUAAGCUGCAACUCGCCUACGUGAAGGAGGAAUCGCUAGUAAUCGCAGGUCAGCAUACUGCGGUGAAUACGUUCCCGGGCCUUGUACACACCGCCCGUCACACCAUGGAAGUUGGCCAUGCCCGAAGUCGUUACUCCAACCUUUGUGGAGGAGGACGCCGAAGGUGGGGCUGAUGACUGGGGUGAAG
This 1430-nucleotide ribosomal RNA is filed under the name metagenome. RNAcentral's name for it is "bacterial SSU rRNA". It matches the Rfam family "Bacterial small subunit ribosomal RNA". The record is from RNAcentral.